GAGACUCUGUGCGCGUGCAUAUCAAUAAGCGGAGGAAAAGAAACUAACAAGGAUUCCCUUAGUAACGGCGAGUGAAGCGGGAAGAGCUCAAAUUUGAAAUCUUCAAGGUUCUACCUUGACGAAUUGUAGUUUAAAGAAGUGUUUUCUGUUGGAGUUUUGGUAAAAGUUCUUUGGAAUAGGACAUCAUAGAGGGUGAGAAUCCCGUAUUUGACUAUUCUUUCUAGCUUUGUGAUACACUUUCAAAGAGUCGGAUUGUUUGGGAAUGCAGUCCAAAAUGGGUGGUAAAUUUCAUCUAAAGCUAAAUAUUGGCGAGAGACCGAUAGCGAACAAGUACCGUGAGGGAAAGAUGAAAAGAACUUUGAAAAGAGAGUUAAACAGUACGUGAAAUUGUCAAAAGGGAAACGUUUGACACCAGUGUUGUUUUUCCGAAAAUCAAUUACGAAUGUUUUAUUUUUGAGGAGUUAUGACUUCAUCGGCUUGCUCCUUUCUUUAUGAAACUUUCUUAAUGCACUUUUCGGUUAACAAGUCAACAUCAAUUUCUUUUGUUGUAAAAGGGUAUGAGGAAGGUGGCUUUCUUUUCGGAGAAAGUGUUUAUAGCCUUGUGCCUCUGCAAUCGGAGAGAUUGAGGUCUGCAGCGUAGAUCCUUCGGGGUUAGAUACAUUUGUGCUAAGUUAUAGCUUUUCAUAGACAACUUGUUGACUAUGUUUAGUCUUGUAGCCUACUCGCUGACGCUAUUUUACCUACGCUUAGGAUGUUGAAGUCAUCGUAUCGCGC
Molecule: ribosomal RNA, 774 nt
Filed under: uncultured Neocallimastigales
Lineage: Eukaryota; Fungi; Neocallimastigomycota; Neocallimastigomycetes; Neocallimastigales
Description: partial large subunit ribosomal RNA
Rfam family: Eukaryotic large subunit ribosomal RNA
Source: RNAcentral